GUUUUCUCCGAGCGAAAAUAUCUAAGGAUCUUAAUCUAUGAUAUUGAGCCAAGUGCUAAAAGUACUUCUGGGUUAGAAGGGAAACCGACUAGCCUUCCGUAUUUGAAAAGGUGAUUACAG
This 120-nucleotide non-coding RNA is filed under the name uncultured Intestinibacter sp. RNAcentral describes it as "Moco (molybdenum cofactor) riboswitch". It matches the Rfam family "Molybdenum/Tungsten riboswitch aptamer (Moco RNA motif)", at positions 11 to 123 of the family's 135-position model. Lineage: Bacteria; Bacillati; Bacillota; Clostridia; Peptostreptococcales; Peptostreptococcaceae. The record is from RNAcentral.